Molecule: long non-coding RNA, 100 nt
Organism: Sinocyclocheilus rhinocerous
Lineage: Eukaryota; Metazoa; Chordata; Actinopteri; Cypriniformes; Cyprinidae
Exons: 3
Source: RefSeq, a predicted model, not a curated record
AAAAGUUGUGAAUUCUUUGGGUUUAAUUAAAAUCAUUUCAUUAUUGUCCGUGCAGAGGCUAUUCCGUUUUAUUGAUCCAUGGCGCAUGCAUUUUGAUUCU